GCCCCCGUAGCUCAGGGGAUAGAGCAUCGGCCUCCGGAGCCGGGUGCGCAGGUUCGAAUCCUGCCGGGGGCACC
Molecule: transfer RNA, 74 nt
Filed under: Streptomyces globisporus
Lineage: Bacteria; Bacillati; Actinomycetota; Actinomycetes; Kitasatosporales; Streptomycetaceae
Also listed under: 7 other names
Description: tRNA-Arg
Rfam family: tRNA
About the family: Transfer RNA (tRNA) molecules are approximately 80 nucleotides in length. Their secondary structure includes four short double-helical elements and three loops (D, anti-codon, and T loops).
Source: RNAcentral